Molecule: ribosomal RNA, 255 nt
Filed under: Vibrio parahaemolyticus
Lineage: Bacteria; Pseudomonadati; Pseudomonadota; Gammaproteobacteria; Vibrionales; Vibrionaceae
Description: partial 23S ribosomal RNA
Rfam family: Bacterial large subunit ribosomal RNA
Source: RNAcentral
UACUACAGCUUGGCACUGAACAUUGACCCUACAUGUGUAGGAUAGGUGGGAGGCUUUGAAGCACGUACGCCAGUAUGUGUGGAGCCGUCCUUGAAAUACCACCCUUGUAGUGUUGAUGUUCUAACGUCGACCCCUAAUCGGGGUUGCGGACAGUGCCUGGUGGGUAGUUUGACUGGGGCGGUCUCCUCCCAAAGAGUAACGGAGGAGCACGAAGGUGGGCUAAUCACGGUUGGACAUCGUGAGGUUAGUGCAAUG